CCUAAGGAGUAAUCCUGUGCGCGGCGCUAUGCCUGACAGCGUGCCUCUUGGAGAAUGAGCCUGCGAGUUAAUCUCAGUGGCGAGGUUAAGGGAGUUACACCCGAAGCCGUAGCGAAAGCGAGUCUGAAUAGGGCGUAUAGUCGCUGGGAUUAGACCCGAAACCUGGUGAGCUACCCAUGCGCAGGGUGAAGCGAGUCUAACCACUCGUGGAGGCCCGAACUUACUAAUGUUGCAAAAUUAGGAGAUGACCUGUGGGUAGAGGUGAUAUGCCAAACGAACUAGGAGAUAGCUGGUUCUCCCCGAAAUAGCUUUAGGGCUAGCGUUGUGCGUUUAGUAUUGGAGGUACAGCACUGAAUGGGCUAAGGGGCUUACAGCUUACUGAACCCAAUCAAACUCGGAAUGCCAAUACUCCAUAGCACGGCAGUCGGACUCCGGGAGAUGAGUUUCGGGGUCGAAAGGGAAACAGCCCAGAUCAUCAGCUAAGGUCCUUAAGUCUACACUAAGUGGGAAACGAGGUGGGGCUACUUAAACAACCAGGAGGUUGGCUUAGAACCAGCCACCCUUUAAAGAGUGCGUAAUAGCUCACUGGUCUAGUGGCCCUGCGCGGAAAACUUAACGGGGCUAAGUGUAGCACCGAAGCUAUGGGACUUACGCAAGUAAGUCGGUAGGGGAGCGUUCCAUCAGCAGUGAAGGUCGACCGUAAGGACGGCUGGAGCGGAUGGAAGUGAGAAUGCAGGCAUGAGUAGCGAAUAAACACGUGAGAACCGUGUUCGCCGUAUGUCUAAGGUUUCCGACGCCAGGUCAUUCCGCGUCGGGUUAGUCAGGGCCUUAGCCGAGGCCGAGAGGCGUAGGUGAUGGAUAUCCGGUCAACAUUCCGGAACCACCUGGAUGGAGUGAUGUGGGGACGCAACGUGGUAGGCCAGCCUCCGAUUGGUUGUGGAGGUGCGAUCCGUUUAGGCGUUGAGAUUGGUAGGAAAAUCCGCCAGUUGAGCUGAGACGAGAGCGAGCCCUUGAGGCGUAAGUGGUUGAGCCAUAUUGCCAAGAAAAGCCACUAAACGUUGAAGUCCAGGUGCCUGUACCGCAAACCGACACCGGUAGACGGGUUGAGUAUACCAAGGCGAACGGGAGAACUAUCGUUAAGGAACUAGGCAACAUGACCCCGUAACUUCGGGAUAAGGGGUACCCACGCAAGUGGGUCGCAGUGAAAUGGCUCUAGUGACUGUUUAACAAAAACACAGGUCUCUGCUAAGCCGUAAGGCGAUGUAUAGGGGCUGACGCGUGCCCAGUGCCGGAAGGUUAAAGGGAGAGGUUAGACGCAAGUCGAAGCUUUGAACUGAAGCCCCGGUGAACGGCGGCCGUAACUAUAACGGUCCUAAGGUAGCGAAAUUCCUUGUCGGGUAAGUUCCGACCCGCACGAACCGCGUAACAACUAGAGCACUGUCUCAACGAUAGACCC
RNAcentral lists this ribosomal RNA (1456 nucleotides) under metagenome. Its description in RNAcentral is "bacterial LSU rRNA". It matches the Rfam family "Bacterial large subunit ribosomal RNA", at positions 568 to 2034 of the family's 2925-position model. The record is from RNAcentral.